This 497-nucleotide ribosomal RNA is filed under the name uncultured bacterium. RNAcentral's name for it is "partial 16S ribosomal RNA". It matches the Rfam family "Bacterial small subunit ribosomal RNA", at positions 28 to 507 of the family's 1533-position model. The record is from RNAcentral.
GAUGAACGCUGGCGGCGUGCCUAAUACAUGCAAGUCGAGCGAACGGACGAGAAGCUUGCUUCUCUGAUGUUAGCGGCGGACGGGUGAGUAACACGUGGAUAACCUACCUAUAAGACUGGGAUAACUUCGGGAAACCGGAGCUAAUACCGGAUAAUAUUUUGAACCGCAUGGUUCAAAAGUGAAAGACGGUCUUGCUGUCACUUAUAGAUGGAUCCGCGCUGCAUUAGCUAGUUGGUAAGGUAACGGCUUACCAAGGCAACGAUGCAUAGCCGACCUGAGAGGGUGAUAGGCCACACUGGAACUGAGACACGGUCCAGACUCCUACGGGAGGCAGCAGUAGGGAAUCUUCCGCAAUGGGCGAAAGCCUGACGGAGCAACGCCGCGUGAGUGAUGAAGGUCUUCGGAUCGUAAAACUCUGUUAUUAGGGAAGAACAUAUGUGUAAGUAACUGUGCACAUCUUGACGGUACCUAAUCAGAAAGCCACGGCUAACUAUGUG